UNUGAAGUUAAAGGCUGUGGCUUAACCAUAGUACGCUUUGGAANCUGUUUAACUUGAGUGCAAGAGGGGAGAGUGGAAUUCCAUGUGUAGCGGUGAAAUGCGUAGAUAUAUGGAGGAACACCGGUGGCGAAAGCGGCUCUCUGGCUUGUAACUGACGCUGAGGCUCGAAAGCGUGGGGAGCAANCAGGAUUAGAUACCCUGGUAGUNCACGCCGUAAACGAUGAGUGCUAGGUGUUAGACCCUUUCCGGGGUUUAGUGCCGCAGCUAACGCACUAAGCACUCCGCCUGGGGAGUACGACCGCAAGGUUGAAACUCAAAGGAAUUGACGGGGGCCCGCACAAGCGGUGGAGCAUGUGGUUUAAUUCGAAGCAACGCGAAGAACCUUACCAGGUCUUGACAUCCCUCUGACCGCUCUAGAGAUAGAGUUUUCCUUCGGGACAGAGGUGACAGGUGGUGCAUGGUUGUCGUCAGCUCGUGUCGUGAGAUGUUGGGUCAAGUCCCGCAACGAGCGCAACCCCUAUUGUUAGUUGCCAUCAUUUAGUUGGGCACUCUAGCGAGACUGCCGGUAAUAAACCGGAGGAAGGUGGGGAUGACGUCAAAUCAUCAUGCCCCUUAUGACCUGGGCUACACACGUGCUACAAUGGCUGGUACAACGAGUCGCAAGCCGGUGACGGCAAGCUAAUCUCUUAAAGCCAGUCUCAGUUCGGAUUGUAGGCUGCAACUCGCCUACAUGAAGUCGGAAUCGCUAGUAAUCGCGGAUCAGCACGCCGCGGUGAAUACGUUCCCGGGCCUUGUACACACCGCCCGUCACACCACGAGAGUUUGUAACACCCGGAGUCGGUGAGGUAACCUUUUAGGAGCCA
RNAcentral lists this ribosomal RNA (863 nucleotides) under uncultured bacterium. Its description in RNAcentral is "bacterial SSU rRNA". It matches the Rfam family "Bacterial small subunit ribosomal RNA", at positions 588 to 1451 of the family's 1533-position model. The record is from RNAcentral.